CUGGAAGCAUCUGUUUAUUUGGGAGGAUGCUGUAAAAGUUUGUGAAAGAAGUCAGAGUCAGUGCAGCUCACUUCUGACCAAUGACAAUAAUAUUGAGGAGACAGAGAGAAGAGAAAAGAUGCUGGCCACCCUUGGGAGCGUCUGACUGAGAAAAUAGGUCAAUGUGGAAAGCUGUCUACCUGUUCUCCCCCCCUUCUCUCUUACAAAAAAACACAAGCAGUGUCACGGGGGGCUGGAGGCAAUCCCAGCCGACACUGAAUGAGUGGACAGACGGCC
Long non-coding RNA from Oreochromis aureus, 276 nucleotides. RefSeq lists it as uncharacterized. The record is from RefSeq and is a predicted model, not a curated record. The transcript has 3 exons. Lineage: Eukaryota; Metazoa; Chordata; Actinopteri; Cichliformes; Cichlidae.